Molecule: ribosomal RNA, 254 nt
Filed under: uncultured bacterium
Lineage: Bacteria
Description: partial 16S ribosomal RNA
Rfam family: Bacterial small subunit ribosomal RNA
Source: RNAcentral
UACGAAGGGGGCUAGCGUUGCUCGGAAUCACUGGGCGUAAAGGGUGCGUAGGCGGGUCUUUAAGUCAGGGGUGAAAUCCUGGAGCUCAACUCCAGAACUGCCUUUGAUACUGAGGAUCUUGAGUUCGGGAGAGGUGAGUGGAACUGCGAGUGUAGAGGUGAAAUUCGUAGAUAUUCGCAAGAACACCAGUGGCGAAGGCGGCUCACUGGCCCGGUACUGACGCUGAGGCACGAAAGCGUGGGGGAGCAAACAGG